AAAAAUAGAAAAUGAAAGUAUAUAUAUAUAUGAUUUCAGUUGUUCAAUUUUUUCUUUUUUAUAUUUUUCGAUAAUGAAAAUGUCAGCCGACAGCGUGAGGGUUGUGCUGUGGCGACAGUAACAACGACUUGUGUAAGGAACAUGCCACGUGUCGUUAUCGGAACCCUUUUCUCAUCAUCACAUCUCAGCCGUUGAUUAAAUUUCCUGCCAAGUGAAGUCUUCGUAUCACAUGUCGUUGGAUCACUUUUUUUUUGGUUGGUAUCCAUAUAUAACACACUAGAAAAAUGCAUAAAUAAAUCUUUUUGUUUAUUUAUAAUGUUUGUUUUGAACGUUAUUUAUGAAUAAUAUACUACUAUUUUUUUGUCAACUUUUACAAAUUUUGUAUAAAAGUCUAGAAGCGACUUGAGAACGACCUUUUUUCUUUUUUUUUUUACAAAAUUGUAAUUAAGUUUGGUAUGCAUCUUAAUGGCGUGAGUAGAACGUAUAAACAAUUUCAAAAUAUUCAUCAAAUGUUACGGCCAAGGUUCCGUUAAUCAUCUUACAAAAUUAUAAUCCUUUUCCAAAAAGCUCGACUCAUCAUCACUUCUUA
RNAcentral lists this long non-coding RNA (589 nucleotides) under Capsella rubella. RNAcentral describes it as "long non-coding RNA (CRUB_LNC002468)". Lineage: Eukaryota; Viridiplantae; Streptophyta; Magnoliopsida; Brassicales; Brassicaceae. The record is from RNAcentral.